UAAGGGCGGCGGAGAGGUGGGGCCGCCGCCGCUGGGGAGAGCGUGUCCCUCCCCGCCGCCAUCGCAGACCCGCGGGAGCCCCCAUUGCACCCCCCCCCCCCGGCUGUGCUUUGGGACCCUUCCGCCCCCGCUGCGCCCGGCGCCACUGCAAAGCGCCCAGCCCGCGCGGCUCGGCCCCGGCCCCGGCCGCAGGGGGCCUGUCUCCUGCCUGGGGCUCCGCGCGGGACCCAAGCGCCCUCCACGGACCUCCUGCCUGUGCGGCGCGGCCGCCUCAGCGCCGCGGGGUGACUCCCUCCGCCCCAGCGGGGGGCCCUGCCUGGCACCUGGGCCGGGGACGCUUCAGCGGCACCAUCUUGUGUGUGUGAGGAGGGAGCCUCUCCAAGCGGCCCCCACUCCGGCCUUUGAGCACGACCCACGCCGGCGCGAAGCCCGCUUUGGCUCAGCUGUUGGACUCGCUCGCUCAGGCCUCCCCCCGCGCCGGCGGCCGAGCUUUCCGCAGCCGGGGCCGCGCGGGCGGAGAUGCUCCGGCUCCACGGGGUGGGGCGGCUGGCGGGGCCGAGCUGCCCGCUCCGCAGGCGCAGCGCUACGUGGAGGAGCGCCACCAAAAAUGCAUCGGUUUCGGAAGUGCUGCAGCUGGGGGAUAAAAAGCUCCCGGGCGUCGUUUUCCCCCUCCAGGGCCUAGAGAAGUAUCUAGCCCCGGACGUGAACACUGCGAGCUUCCGGACUUUCAGCCCCAGCCUGGCUGACCUCCACAGGGCAGAGGGGUUUUUCAGACCCUCGGGCAGACACGUGAUUCAUUAUUUCAGCUCUGCCAUCCGCAUGGACCAUGCACCACAGCUGUCGCAGCCCGAGGUGUGCUUUUUGGGCAGAAGCAAUGUUGGGAAAUCCUCCUUAAUAAAGGCUUUGUUUUCACUGGCUCCAGACGUUGAAGUCAGAGUGUCAAAAACUCCAGGCCACACAAAGAAAAUGAAUUUCUUCAAAGUGGGGAAAUACUUUACGGUGGUGGACAUGCCAGGCUAUGGCUACCGAGCCCCCCAAGACUUUGCUGACAUGGUGGAGGCCUAUUUACAAGAGCGUCAGAACUUGAAGAGGACAUUCUUAUUAGUGGACAGCUUGGUAGGAUUGCAGAAAGCAGACCACAUUGCCAUAGAAAUGUUGGAGGAGUUUGGGAUCCCUUACGUUCUUGUGUUAACCAAAAUCGACAAAGUUCCCAAGGGAUUGUUAGUGAAAAAUGUACUGGAGAUCCAGGACUUUGCAGAGAAACACACUCAGGGGUGCUUUCCUCAACUCUUCCCAGUCAGUUCCAUAGAGUAUUCUGGCAUCCAUCUGCUGAGGUGUUUUAUAACCCAUGUUACAGGAAACCUUCCCCUGAUGAAUUCCUGACAGACCUACCUCUCCGUGUCCACAACUCUCCUGUUGUACUCUACCCAUCCAGCACAACAGGGCUUCCUAUCUGGAGGUGGAAAGGACUUAUCCUUUAAGAAGUUAUGAGAGGAUGAUGCCUGCAAAGGAAGUCUGGUAUACAGGCUGCAUGGAGUUAUGUGGUACCUCUGCCAGGAGGUAAUGCCACUCUGUGCCCCAAAAGGAAAUUACCCUAAUGUAAUCAAGCACCACUGGCUACAAGCUGCGAGGGCUCUCCACCACCCCAUCAGUUCCUAGGAGAAAGAGCAGAUGAACUAAUAGCAGGAGGAAAGCUGUGACUCUGAUGGAAGAAUUAGUACUUACAUGGCAUCUAUUGCCUUAGAGAGCAAGGCCUGAGGAUUUCAAGGCAGGGGGUUCACCUCUCCUUUUUGUACUGCGUUCUCUUGUUUAGCACUGAUUUCACUGCACAUCUCAGAGAACAAGCUGAAAUUCUUUAGUGAUGACAACUGACCAUAAGGGAGGGAACUUCCAUGGCAAAUGAAGUACAUGCUACAUAUCUGGCCCUACAUUGUCCCUCAGUGGCAGCCUCCUAUUCAGGGGCACAUAAUAGUGUGAGAAGUUUAUCCCACAGCUAAGUUGCAUCUAUUCAGCAAUGCCCACUACACAGCCUAGCUAUAGUGUUACUGAUGGGUAAGAUUUUCUUCCCCCAAGAUUGCCCAUUCUUAAGCUCUGUUUACACUGAUGGUGUGUGGAGAGUACAGGCUCUGUUCACACUUGUCACUGCAGUGGCUAGCUGUAUGCCAUGGCAAGUCUUCAAGAGGGGGAAGUGGCUGGAGCUGUUCAUGGGGGCAGGGGAAGGCUUGAGUAGGAGGAUGUUACACUGCUAAAAAUAGCUCUGUAGAACAAGGAGGUACUCCUGGGGGUUCCAGUGUGUAGGGCACUCUGUUCACCUAAGCAGUGCUGUUAAUACCAGUGUAAGCUGGGCAUGCUGUGCCUGUACUCUACAUGUGACUUAAGUGUAGAUUACGAGGCUGUGUGGUCUAGUUUAUGUCUGCUCAUAAAAGGAAAUGCUUUUUUACCCAACCUAGUUGACCUCAGGAAUUCACUGUCAGAUGUUAAUCCUACUACGUGAUAGUAGCCAUUCCUCGAGACUGGGAGUUGCUGGAACAGUAGCCUAGUGCAGUACGCUAAUUCCUAUGUGCUGAAAGCAAGAGAGAUCGAUCAGAGUAGUUAGGAGUUAUAGCCCUGACUCUCCCUUUGUUCUGCUUGAAGGGUCUGAUUCAAUAUAUACCCACUGUUAGAAGUGCUCAGUAUCAUAACAGCAGAUGUGCUGUCCCAGAUGGUACAGCUCUCAGGGGCAAAGUGUGCCACAUGCUAUAGCUCAGUAUCCAUUCUUGGUGAAUAGUUUCAGCAUGCUAGCAAACAUUUUUCAGAAGCAUCCACUCAGUUUUGAGUGCUGCAUGCUCUGGGGUCUUCCAAGUUGAGCAUCCAAAAUUAAUGGACACUUCUGCACAGUGUGGCUUAAAUCCUAGAGCUUGAUAUACAGCUGCCUGCAAAACCCAAGGUUCUUAAAAAAAACCCACUAUACCAACUGCUAGCAAAAAUCUUUACAAAAUACCUUUGACUGAUUCAUUUUUAAAUACAUAGUUUACAUUUGUAAGAAUUUAAUAAAUAUAUACUUAGACAGCACAGUAUGGACCAGAUCCUGUAGUCCUUGUACAUAUGUAACUAUCAUUGGAUUGACUUCCUUGGGACUUCAUGGAAGGAAUGUAGGACUGGACCACAUUACAGUUGUGCUACAGAAAAAAUGCCUAGGUGAAGUCCUCCAUGCAAGGGUUAUAGAGCAUCAGCUUUACUUUUAUAGUUGGCUAGGAUUUGUUUCAGGUUUUCCAAGAGAUCUUCAGACAUAAAUUCUUCAAACACCAUAUCGGCUUUUUCAUUUUGCUCAGCCAGGUAUUUCUACGAAGAGAAAGUUACAAGUGAGAUUUCCAACUUUCUUUUUUAACCUAAAAGACAUGGAGCUUGUGUCAGCACCAUGUGCAUCUUUUAUUAUUAUUCACUGCAUUUGGUAUCAGGCCAUCUAUCUAUAAUUUAUUAAAACUGGUUUCUUCAAUAAAAAAAAUAAUCAAAUAAACUCCAAGAUCUGACUUGAUAGUAAAGUAACCAGGUUAAAAACAGCUGUGUUUGACAGUGGCAUGCCACCACACUUUGUAAAUUCCUAGGGCACAAAUCUGAUCCAGAGGAGUUCUUGUGAACGAGACACAGCCGUGUUGCCUAUUAAAUCUCAACCCAUAGGCUGAUGGUAUAAAAGCCAGUCCUGUUCUUGAGGGAGGUUAGCAUGGCAGAACACAGAAGAAGCUUGGAUAAUUUGCUGAUUUUUAGGAAGCUUUAGAUCCCUCUUAAAUGUCAGCAGAGUGACUGGUAGCUCUGUGGCAUAAUCCCUCUUAUUCACAGACUUAAGACUUUUUUUUGCUAUUUCCUGGUACAAACCUUCAGAGAAAUCCCAGUUUCAUUGAAGUUAAUGGUGCAGGAUUUCACUCUUAAUAUCUAAGUAUGCCUCUUCUCUCCCCUAGUCUAUCAUUAGUUGUUUCCACAUUUCUCCUUCCUAUUAAUGUAUAUAUUUCAGAUUGGAAACAUGCAAUCUGCGUCUUGCACUUGGAUUACAGUGUCCUAACCAUUCACCUUCCCCAGACCAGAAGGAGCGCAGUGAAGCUCGUAAGCUUGUCCCUUUCACCAACAGAAGUUGGUCCAAUAAAUAUUACCUCACCUAGCUUGUGUCCAGUGGCCUAAGCAUUCAUCUCACUUCUGUAGCCAUCCCCUGCACAGUCACUGCAAGUGUAAUUCCAUUUUAGAAGGGACUUUGAUGACCCAAUACUUUCACUCACCCAGAUGAUUUACACAGCAAACUACACAUCCUUUAUGGCUUUAAGCCCUCUUGAUUAAAACUGUUUUCCAUGAACAAAGGUACUGGCACCAUUAAUUGUGAGGCAGAAGCUCUAGGGAUGGUCAGGAGCCCAAGUGCUAUUUCUACUUGUCAUUUCCCUGCCAAGUGCCCUUAGGUGAAUCCCUGGCCCCCUCUGUGCCUGUUUCCCUUCCCACAGUUUGUGUUAUCUACUUAGAACAUAAGCUUUUUGGGUCAAGGACAGUCUCUGCACAGCACCUAGUACAAGAUGUUGGGACCUCUAGCUGCUACUGUAAUGCAAACUAUAAAUCACAUCCCACCCUUUGCAGAUUGGUAAGUAGGCCUUUGAAAACUACAGGAGAGGCUACUGUCAUCUUUCCAAAAUGAUCUCUACACUUCUGAUAACGGAAGGUCUGAACAAGCUAGAACAUCCACCCACCUCAGCAGUACUGAACACCAACAAUUCACGUAUUUGGAGACUUCUAAUUUCUCCUUUUUCCAAUACAGCCCAGGAAGAACAAUUGCAAUUGUUACUGCUAUUUCACCCUACAUUCAAUCAGUGUGGUGACAGCUGUUUUCGGUGAGGUUGGCAGGGCAUGGUGCUGUACUUUAGCAGCACCGAAGCUUUUUGGCAAGAGGUUAGACAGUGGAAGCAUUACAAGGGGCCAUUUUACCAGUAGACUAGUUGCUUUACUGGCUCUGUUAAUAAUUUGAAGGGAAGGUAGGGAAGAUGAGCCAUGGAGUAUGAGCGUGUAUAUAUGACUAAGGCAAUCAGUCAUGAAAUAUCAAUACAAAGAACCCUAGAACAAGAGACUAUUCAGCUGCUAUUCCCAACACCACACACUGGUUGGGUGCUCUGCUUGCACAUGGCAGUUAGUUUCAGCACAUUUUUAAUCCACAUGGAAUUUACUAUUGUGUCCAUUUGGGAGAAAUUGUGGACUUUUCUGUACAGGAAGGAACAAGGUUCAGCAUGCCCAGACAAACAGGAGAGAGAUUUGUUCUUUCCAAGGAGCUUGGAGACACCAGUCACUUCCGAGAGAGAGUGACAGACACUUUUGGGGAGAACAGACCACCUCUUUCUUCAUAGCCUGCCAUGAACUGGGCAGGACAUGGGGAGAGAGAAUUAAAGAGGGGUGAAGUGGAAAUGAACUGACCGUAAAUUGCCUUUUGGGCAAUGUACAUUUCCUAACCCUGCUUUAGUGUUCAUAGUAAUGGGUGUGACUUACCUCUACAGACCCUACAUGAAAAGCCACCAUCUCCAAGACUUGGUACAAUUUAUCAAGCAUUUGCAUUUUCUCUUCAUUUGUUGUCCUCACAGCAAUCUGGUGCCUGAGGAAUACAAAUACAUUCCCUUAAUUGCAUGCCCAGGCCAAAGAGAAACCCCUUCAUUUUAAGGUUGACGUGUAAUAAAUGUUAGAAAAAUUCAACAGGCUGAAUAAUUUAAAAUCAAGACAAUUUAAAAGUCACCAAGUGGAAAGCCUCGGUUUAAAUAAUUGAUUUUAACCUACUUUUCCAUUUGUACUUCAGUUUCUUUCUACAGGAACGUGCACUCUCAUUGGUUGAUGAAACUAUUAAAACAUUAAUUUACAACUAAAGCCUUUUCACUAGAUUUAGUGCAUAUUUUUGCUACCUAAGAGGAUACACUAGAACUAUCUACAUUUAAGCAAUUAUGUAUCUUAAUAUUUUCAGAUUAACUAUACAUUUUUAAUAUGUUAGAAAAUGAUGAAUGAUGUUGCUUAUUUACUAGAUAAUUUACUUUUUGCUCUGAUUUGUGUCAAGCUGUAUUAGGAUGGUAACUUGUGUUUGUUUAAAUUCCAAACAGCAUAUAAAAUACCACCUUAAAUGUUUUGGAUAGAUAAUUUCUUAUCAAAGCACGUUCCACAUUUACAACUAAAUGAUUUAUUAAAAACGGAGAUUAACUGUACUCAGUGAAUUAAACUGGUUGUUUCAGGUAAGCCUGGGAAAAUUUUCAAAUGAAAGUGACAGUUUAAAUUCCUAGUCUCACCUAAGUCUCUUGAAAAUAAGACAGUCUCCUAAAUUACUCAAGCUGACCAUUGUGCCAUAUUUAAAAAGUUUGACCUCAAAAGUUAGACUCAGGAAGAACAUCUUUUAUAUAGAAAAGCAGCUAUUAACUCAGUUUGCUUUUUUAAAUCAAGGCUCAUGGAUUCAGCAUAUUUUUUUUAUUUAACAUUUUAAGAGAAUAAAUUUAGGCCUUAACAUUUUGUUUUAAAUCCAGAUUUUAAACAGGUUUAUUUUUAUACAAAAUUGUAAUUUAAAUAAAAUAAAAAUCCAAUUUAAAAUAAAAUCCAAUCCUGAAACUAAGACUAUAGAUAAAACUGAGUAUCUAUACAGUUUAUACAUUCUCUAGCAAACAUCUAGCCAAUUCAGCAUUAUCAGACAUUACAAUAACCUUACGUCUAAUCUCUCCCAAUCCAUUUUUAAAUCAGUCCAAAUAUAUCAAAAACUUUAUAAAGGCAUUGAAUCAUCCACGUACACUGGAGUAUUUUUAGGUAUUAUAUAUAGAUGUAGACUAAAAUGAUAAAUCUUAGUUACACAGCAAUAUUAUAAGUGCUUUAUAUUGUUAAAAUAUUAACAUUCUGCAGUUAUAUGUAUAGGGCUAGACUUUGAACGUACAUGGUUUAUGUAGCACGGCACAAGAUAAAGCAGGGGACUGGGACUCAGAUUUGAGUUCUAUUCCUGGCUUUGCCACUAGCCUGCUGGGUGAUUUUGGCCAAGCAUUUUACUUUUCAGUGCCGCAGUUUCCCCAUCUGUAAAAUGGAGGUAAUACGGACUUCCUUUGCAAAGCACUUUGAUAUCUACUGACGAAAGGCUAUAAGAGAUAGAAGGUAUAAUAUUAGGAUUUUUAUAUGUUCAGCAAAUGUGUCAAGUCUUAAGGGCCUUUCUGUAGAACUUGAAAACUCAGACUCUUGAUAGAUGGGACAUGGGGGUUGGUGUCACUGGAAUGUGUAAUAACUAACUUUCACAUGGCUGGAUAUUAGAGAAUGCAUGAACUGUAAAGGAUACUGAAACCUUUAACUACAGGAUUUCCUUUCUUACAGUCCAGUUACUAUUGAAAGUUAACUUCUGAAUUUCACAGUAUACGAAGAUGUGUCCAAACACAUACAGGUAUUUCGGACUCACUAUGGCAGACUCAGGGUAGCAAGGCUGGUUAGAAAUAGGCUUUUCCCCUCAAAUCAAUUUGGUCAGUCAAAAAAAAAAAAAAAGUUUUUCAAAAAGUGAAAAGGUUUUGGUUUCUUGACAAAGUCCAUUUUCCACUGAAAGUAGCAGGCACUUUUCUUAUGUUUGUCUUUAGUUGACUACUCAGAUUUCCAUUGAAACAGACAAAAUUUUAACCCGCUCUUGCUCUGCAGACACAAAUUAAUACUCCAUACUGCAAGGUUCUGGAAGUAGAGUGUAUUAGUGAUAUGGGAACCAUAGUAUAUGUGCAAGACUAAGGGCUAGUUAUGUACUCAGUCAAGGAAAUCUUAUACAAACUACAGAAAUUCACCAUGAAACCUCCAGAGUAUGGUCUUCUCUCUGCAUUGAUAUGCAGUAGACUUCUCAGGAAAAAUCUGUUUAAGAAAGAAAACAAAAAAAACCCCACACCUGGAUGUGCUGCACUUACUUCUUCUGAAUUUCAUGUAGCUCAUUCAUAGCUUCAUUGAGGCCCUCAUUGACUCCAGUCUCAAUUAAGUUUUUAUGUAUCUCUAGAGCUUGCAGUUCAGCUGCACUUUUUUCUUCUUCUUCUUCAGCCACCUAAGGAAGGAUAAACAAAUCCUGAUCAGCAACAUGUUCCUCAGACUAAGUUUACCCACCAAUAAUUAAAGUCCUAGAACUGGCUAGGAGAGUGGACCUCCUGCCAGCAGAGGAAUACAGGCAACCCCAAAGAAUUCCCCCUAUGAAAGGAUCAAACCAAGGCCUCAGCAGGACAAACUUCAACUAUUAACAAAAAUUGUUACUCCCUCCCUCCCCUUCCCUUCCUCCCCCCCACCCCUGCCCAAGAGUAUCAAUAUAACCAAAAAGCAACUGUUUAAAGAGGUGACAAAUAGCAGUGCAACUCACAAGCAUGUUUUAAAAGGCAAAGCAAGUGUUCCUGGGUAAAGGUCCAACAACCGUAUGGCAAGAUGGUGUGGAAUGGAAGAGGACUAUACAUGACUAGAGAUAGUCCCAAACUUAGAUCCCUUUAAUAAAACAACAAGUAACUCCUUAAAGGUUUCCUUUUCCUUUUAGGAGGAGCCAUUGUUCUCAUGGGCAGCCUGCCACUCAGCCCCCAAUCUGAAUGGGGUUCAAAAUGACUUAGCAAGAUCUCUGAAAAAAGAAACAGGAAGCAGCACUUCUCUCCUGUAUCCAUUAGAUCAGGAGUUCUCAAAGUUUAGCAACCCGAGCACCCCCAUUUUGAUUUAGUAUUUUUUGUGGACCCCCACGCUCGCUGCUCAGCCCCAGGCCCCACCCCCAUGGUGCCUUCCCCACCACUUUCUGCCCCCUCCCCUGAGCUUGCCUGUCCCUGCUACUCCCCCUCCCUCCCAGCACCUCCUGCACACCACUGGCAUCCAGGAGGCCCUGGGAGGGAGGGAGGGGGAGGAAUUGAUCAGCAGAGCCGCAGACCCCCCUGGAGUACCCUUGCAGACCCCAGUUUGGGAAAUGCUGCACUAGAUGAGUUGGGCAUUGUGUCAGGCAUGUAUUGUAAUGAGCCAGGCAGGCAUCAUGAGAGGCUGCACAUCCUGAAGUGUCCUUGCAGUACCAAAUCUGAAAUAUUUUGUGAGCCAUUUUAUUAUUAUUUUUUUAAAGGAGUUUUGCUCUGUCCAUGCAUGUUGGCACCUGCCUACACCAGCAUGCUGCCUGGAAUGGUUUUUUUAAGAACAGGCUUUUUCUUACCCCCGCCUCCCCUUAGUGAGGAACAUGUGAGAUUUGGACUGGAUUAAGGUAGUCCGGGGCCCUAAAAACAUCACCGUGUGGUGCAAGUGGACUCAAUUUCUGCUGUAGAGAAGCCAUCAACAAGGCAGAUCCAGGUCCAGAAAGGGUUGCGGAAAAAGGCUGCAACAAGAUAUUUGUUCCAAGAAAAAACUGGGUGUCUAAAUACUUCCAUCUGACCAGAAACUGGGUACCAUACCUGACAACUGUUCAGAGAGAAAUGGGAGGCAACAUAUCUCCAAGAACAAAUAACAUCCAAAGGGUGGGUGUGGGGAAGGGAGCUCUUCUGCUGGAAGUUAGGCAGAGGGAUAGCAGUUUCUACUCAUGAGAUGCCACCUAGAAGAGGACCAGCUGACUGUCCAAAGCCAUAGAAUGAUUCAUCAGGCUAAAUUCAGCAUGACAUAGGGUGUAAGUCAGUGCAGAAUUUAGUCCUACUCAUUCAAAGAUCUCUCAUUUAUUUUCACUUUAGAAAAGUAAAUUCCUACCUUGAGCUUCUGCUGGUGAUGGUCAUCCAGCUUUUGGGCUUCUUCUUUCAGCAGUUUUAUGUUGCUUUUCUUCUCUGCUAUCAUCUCAUUCAACUUCAAGAACAGAUUUGGUUUAAAAAAAAAACAAACAAAAAC
RNA transcript from Chelonia mydas (Green sea turtle), 9795 nucleotides. It is a transcript of the gene named GTP binding protein 8 (putative), with no coding region annotated. The transcript has 7 exons. The record is from RefSeq and is a predicted model, not a curated record. NCBI's taxonomy places the organism in Eukaryota, Metazoa, Chordata, Testudines, Cheloniidae.